CCCUUAGAUGUUCUGGGCCGCACGCGCGCUACACUGACAGGGCCAGCGAGUACAUCACCUUAACCGAGAGGUUUGGGUAAUCUUGUUAAACCCUGUCGUGCUGGGGAUAGAGCAUUGCAAUUAUUGCUCUUCAACGAGGAAUGCCUAGUAGGCACGAGUCAUCAGCUCGUGCCGAUUACGUCCCUGCCCUUUGUACACACCGCCCGUCGCUACUACCGAUUGAAUGGCUCAGUGAGGCCUUGGGAUUGGCUUAGGAGGGUUGGCAACGACCCCCCAGAGCCGAAAACUUGGUCAAACUCGGUCAUUUAGAGGAAGUAAAAGUCGUAACA
RNAcentral lists this ribosomal RNA (329 nucleotides) under uncultured eukaryote. RNAcentral describes it as "partial 18S ribosomal RNA". It matches the Rfam family "Eukaryotic small subunit ribosomal RNA", at positions 1470 to 1796 of the family's 1831-position model. The record is from RNAcentral.